Molecule: small nuclear RNA, 106 nt
Organism: Lepidothrix coronata (blue-crowned manakin)
Lineage: Eukaryota; Metazoa; Chordata; Aves; Passeriformes; Pipridae
Source: Ensembl
ACGCUCACUUUGGCAGCACAGAUAGUAAAACUGCAAUGACACAGAGAAGUUAGCAUGACCCCUGUGCAAGGAUGACACGCAAAUUUGUGAAGCAUUCCAUACUGUU